Molecule: transfer RNA, 73 nt
Filed under: Felis catus (domestic cat)
Lineage: Eukaryota; Metazoa; Chordata; Mammalia; Carnivora; Felidae
Also listed under: 5 other names
Rfam family: tRNA
About the family: Transfer RNA (tRNA) molecules are approximately 80 nucleotides in length. Their secondary structure includes four short double-helical elements and three loops (D, anti-codon, and T loops). Further hydrogen bonds mediate the characteristic L-shaped molecular structure. tRNAs have two regions of fundamental functional importance: the anti-codon, which is responsible for specific mRNA codon recognition, and the 3' end, to which the tRNAs corresponding amino acid is attached (by aminoacyl-tRNA synthetases). tRNAs cope with the degeneracy of the genetic code in two manners: having more than one tRNA (with a specific anti-codon) for a particular amino acid; and 'wobble' base-pairing, i.e. permitting non-standard base-pairing at the 3rd anti-codon position.
Source: Rfam by way of RNAcentral
AUCUGGAUGGCUCAGUCAGAAGAGCAUGGGAUUCUUAAUCUCCAGGUUGUGAGUUCAAGCCCCACGUUGGGUG